Molecule: transfer RNA, 74 nt
Filed under: Parapedobacter koreensis
Lineage: Bacteria; Pseudomonadati; Bacteroidota; Sphingobacteriia; Sphingobacteriales; Sphingobacteriaceae
Description: tRNA_Asn_GTT
Rfam family: tRNA
About the family: Transfer RNA (tRNA) molecules are approximately 80 nucleotides in length. Their secondary structure includes four short double-helical elements and three loops (D, anti-codon, and T loops).
Source: RNAcentral
UCCUCAGUAGCUCAGUAGGUUAGAGCAUCUGACUGUUAAUCAGAGGGUCGCUGGUUCGAGCCCAGCCUGAGGAG